RNAcentral lists this long non-coding RNA (1071 nucleotides) under Camarhynchus parvulus. Its description in RNAcentral is "lncRNA (ENSCPVG00000006183.2)". Lineage: Eukaryota; Metazoa; Chordata; Aves; Passeriformes; Thraupidae. The record is from RNAcentral.
CCUCCUCCUGAUUUCUGCCCCUGUCUAGACUGCCGGCAGCAGCCGCCCCCGCCGCCCUGUCAUUCGUUACGAGCACAGCAGCACCGCAGCCUCCGCCAGCCCUUUCUUGGCCCGUCUCCAUCACGCCAGCGCCGGCUGCAGCGCAUUUGCUUGUUAUGAAUGGAGCAGGCGACUUGCUGAGGCUCCGUCUGGGCCGGCGAACUGCAGACUCCUCCUGCUGUUUGGCCCUCGCCCCCGCCGCCUCCUCCUCCUCCGAGUCCGAGUACUUGUCCCUGCUGCCUCCGUAGGAGAGGAGCCGGUUCCCGUUCACGGUCCGGUUCUUCCACCGCUGCUGCUCGCUCUCCUUUUCCUCCUCCUCUUCGUCGUCGUCCUCCUCCUCGCCGUCCCCGAGCUCCCUCACACCCUGAGUCGCCGUCGGUCUCCUGGCCGCCGCCCCCCACCAGGCGUUGGGCUUCCGCCGGGCCGCCUCCUCCGGGGGGGAGCUGCUGCUCACGCCGCAGGCGCCGUGGGGGGCGGCGGGCCUGAGGCCGCGGAAGAGGGGCGCAGCGCGCUCCCUCCGGCCGCCGGCCUGGCUCCGGGGGCUGCUCUCCGCGUCCGACUCGUCCGAGCUGAAGCCCAGCAGCACUUUGCCGCCCCCGGCGGGGGGUGCGGCGCGGCCCCGGCCGCCUCCGGCGGCAGCCCCGGGGAGGAAGGGGUGCUCGGCGCCGGCCAGCCGCCCUCCCGGGGCCGCCCGCCCGGAGCCGCCGCCUCCGCCCGGCGCCGCUCCGGCUCCCGUGUUAUUGUUGUUGCUGUUCCGGGUCUUGUUGGCGCCGCCGCCGCGGGCCCCGGCCCGCUCAUCCUCGCGCAGCUUCUUCAGCUUCUUCAGGUAGACGGGCCGGGUGCUCUCGGUGACCGGCCCCGGGGAGAAGCCGAAGCGCCUCAGCUCCGAGAAGAGCUCCUCGUCCGUGAGCUGCGCGGCCGUCGCCAUUUUCCGCUCCCCGCCGCCGCCGCCGCGGCGCUUCCGACCCACGCGCCGCGCCGCGCUCCCCGCCGGAACUGACGCGCCGCACUCGGCUGUGGCCGAGACCCGCC